Molecule: long non-coding RNA, 6334 nt
Filed under: Phaseolus vulgaris (common bean)
Lineage: Eukaryota; Viridiplantae; Streptophyta; Magnoliopsida; Fabales; Fabaceae
Description: long non-coding RNA (PVUL_LNC003265)
Source: RNAcentral
AAUCUUAAAAAGAUGCAUUACAAGGGUCUCUGUCACCUCUCAUUUCUCACACUUUUUUGUUGUCCCAGCCUUGAAUGCUUACCAGCGGAGGGUCUCCCCAAAUCCAUCUCUUCUCUUACAAUAUGGAAUUGUCCAUUGCUGGAGGAGCGUUGUCAUAAUCCAGAUGGCGAAGACUGGGAAAAGAUUGCUCACAUCCAAAAACUGAAACUGGAUCAUGUGGUGAUACGAUGAGUCACAAGGCGUGCACCUAUUUCAAUUUGUCUGCCACCUCAACAGGUUCUAAUUCUCCACAAUAUCUUUCUACCUUUUCCAUUACAAUUUUCUUAGUUGCAAACGGUAACCCUAUAAUUGCCAUUUUCCAAACAAAAGCAGCACAUGUUAUACUUAAACUCUUGAUAUUUAUUAAAGGAGGUUCAACUACGUUUUUCAUGAAUCAAUUACUUUUAUUUUAUUCUUAUUUUUGUGCAAAAUUAUUUCAAUUGUUCUGUUGAAAUUAAAUUCCAACCAAAUGUGUUUCCUAAUUUUAGAAUCCUACGAAAAUCGUGAAGGUGGUCUGGCAUUUGGCAUCCAUUCCGAAGAGAGUAUUCUGUAGUUGGAAGUUAUGGUAGCGUCAUCUUCAUUUAUCUAAGUAUAUUUGUUUUCAUAGCCCAUUUUUUGCCUUCUUUCUUCUUACUUCAUGCUACUACAGUUUCUAACAAAAAAAUGAAGUUAAACUUUAAUAAUAGAUCACUGGAACUAAAUGAUCCAAAAAAUUAAGUUAUGUGUUUUGAGUGGAGGAAAGAUGAAUGGAAACUGCAGUGGACAUAAGGGAUCUAAGGAACUUGUAAUUGGAAUUUAAAAGUAUUUUUAAACCACUUUUUACUGUAUUAAAAAGCUCUUGUGAUAUUCCAUCAAGAUUUUUAAACAUUAAAAGAAGUCUUAUGGUGUUCAAUCAAGACUGAGUUUUACAGAAAAAAAUAGUAAUAGAAAUAGCUUGAAUAUUGUUCAGAAUAUUCAGGGCUUCGGCAUUUCCCAGCAUGCAGGACUGAAAAUUUAUUAUGCUAAUGUAUCGAUGAUGUGUUGACUUAUCUUUUGUUAGGUUUUGAUUUUAAAUUAAUGAUUUAAUUGGAAGACAAGAAGCUUUACUAAUCAAACAUUCAUACUAUCUUUUUUUACAGUAUCUAUUCUAUAUCUGGAGGAAGUAGAAGAGACCCUCUUCAGAGAUCUUACUCUUAACCUCAUUGGCAUUGAUGUUUCUCCUCUGCAUCUUUGUAGUACCUUUUUCUUCAUGCCCUUACAAUCCAGUGGAUGUGUGUAUCAUAAACUAAUAACUAAUUAGAUUGUAAUGACUAACUAUAUAAAGAUAACCUUUGCAACACUUAUACCAAAUGAGGUUCGUAUAAAUUUAACCAAAUUCACUACUUGCUUACUCUAAACACAUCUGAGUGUGAGUAAAUCUCUGUUUUUUGAAUUUGGUUAUCUUGAAUGUUUAUUAGAUAUAAGAUUAGAACCUUUAAUUUCUGCUAUGAGGCUUUGAUGGGAUGUUGGGAAAAGUUCCAUAUUGCUUGUCUCAAGUCUUAAUGUGAAAUGCUUUUAAGCUGAAAUCUAACAUGGUACAAGAUUCUAUAGCUCAUUUGUGUUUAACUACAAUAAAGUCAGACAAUUUUCUUAAAAGAGGGUCCAAUGAACAAGGCCAUACAUCCAUCCAAGUAACAACAACAAGAAACCGUUUGUAAGCGUUUUAAAACUGCAACCAAUUUGUUUCAGCAAAAAGUUUAAAACGAAGAAAAACCAAGAGAACCUGAAACUUAGACGAUAUGAGAUAAAGCCACUUAAAACGCAAAUAUGCAUCAACAAAAGCUAAGUAAUACCGAGAUCAUUAGACGAAUUGUAUGGAGAAGGGCCUAAUAUAUAAAAAAAACAACCUCAAACAGACAAAAGUAAACAAUUUCAGCAUCAUGAAAAGGAGGUUGACGAUGUUUAGAAACACAACAAUUUUCAAAAAAACAGAAGAUCAAGUACAUGGAAUUGUUUCAUUAUUCUAGUCACAGUGUUAUAGAUAGCAUGACCAAGGCGAAUAUGCUAUAGCUACAACUUCUGAAAAUAUUCUUCAACAUUUUCCUAGUAACUUCUUCCUAAAACAAAUGCAAAGUCUUUUGAGUUGCUGGUAAAAUCUUUUUAAUAUCUUUAAUAUCGCCGUCAAUAGAACACACUAUAUUUCCACUGCCAAAACAUAUCGUAUUUAUUUAAGAAUAGAUAAUAUCUUAAAAUAACUCUAUCCAGCUUUAUAAGACCCUUUAAGUAUCUCACAUCUUAUUUCAUUCUCUCCGUAUUUACACAAACAUAACUAAUCAAACUACCCUGGAAAUUCAUAAACAAAGUGUAAAUAUUAUAAAAUAGAAUCGAACAACAUAUUAAGAAACAAAUUGGAUCAUUAAAAAAAAAAACAUAGACAUAAGAUGGGUAUUUUUUUUUUAAUAAACUCAAACAAAGUUAUCAAUAUUAUAAAAUACCCUAAAAUCACGAAACUAUAUAAUUAAUUACUAAAACAAACAAAACCUUGUUUGCAUAUAUAGUAUUUUAAUCACACUAUUACACAUUGAAAACACCACAACAUUAUUCAAAUUAUGCUUAAGUAUAAUAUAUCUGAUGCGGAAAAUAUAUAUAUAUUUUUUUUAUAUUCUGAAGUUAGAGAAUAUCAAAGCAAUUAAAGUUUAAGAGGCAUAUAUAAAAUUACUACGCAUAUUUGUUUAUUGCAUCUUAUUGUGAGACAUCCAUUCAUGGAUUACAGCUGUGAACAUUUUUUUUAUCAGAAACCGUUGAUGGGAAUAUUGGUUCCUUACAGCUGUGAAUAUUGGUUGAGUAGCCAUCAAAGACAAAGAUUCCUUGCACUUAAUCACUGAACAUUUCAAAUCACACACUUCCAUUCUCUUCAUUUCCAACUCAUUCCUACCAUGGCAGCAGAACUUGUUGGUGGUUCUCUUCUUUCGGCCUUUCUUCAGGUUGCAUUCGACAAGCUCGCUUCUCCUCAACUUCUGGACUUCUUUCGUGGAAGAAAACUUGAUGAGAAGCUCCUUGGAAAUUUGAACAUCAUGCUGCACUCCAUCAACGCUCUAGCUGAUGAUGCUGAACUAAAGCAGUUCACAGAUCCACACAUCAAAGCAUGGCUUUUUGCUGUCAAAGAGGCUGUCUUUGAUGCAGAGGAUCUUUUGGGUGAAAUAGACUAUGAACUCACCAGAUGCCAAGUCGAAGCUCAAUAUGAACCUCAAACCUUUACUUACAAGGUAUCAAAUUUUUUCAACUCUACUUUCACUUCAUUUAAUAGGAAAAUUGAAUCAGGGAUGAAAGAAGUCUUGGAAAAACUAGAAUAUCUUGCAAAUCAAAAGGGUGCUCUUGGUUUGAAGGAGGGUACUUAUUCUGGUGAUGGAUCAGGUAGUAAAGUGCCAUCAUCUUCUUUGGUGGUUGAAAGUGUUGUUUAUGGCAGAGAUGCUGACAAAGAUAUAAUCAUUAAUUGGCUCACAUCUGAAACUGACAAUUCUAACCAGCCAUCAAUACUUUCCAUUGUGGGCAUGGGUGGGUUGGGUAAGACCACACUUGCCCAACAUGUGUACAAUGAUCGAAAUAUCGAAGAUGCAAAAUUUGAUAUCAAAGCUUGGGUCUGUGUUUCUGAUCAUUUUCAUGUUUUGACAGUGACAAGAACAAUUCUUGAGACUGUCACUGAUAAAACAGAUGAUAGUGGGAACCUAGAAAUGGUUCACAAAAAAUUGAAAGAAAAAUUGUCAGGAAGGAAAUUUCUUCUUGUUUUGGAUGAUGUUUGGAACGAAAGACGAGAAGAAUGGGAAGCUGUGCGAACUCCUCUUAGCUAUGGGGCUCCAGGAAGUAGAAUUCUUGUCACAACUCGUAGUGAGAACGUUGCUUCUAACAUGAAGUCCAAAGUGCAUCGCCUAAAGCAAUUAGAAAAGGAUGAAGGCUGGAAUGUUUUUGAAAAUCAUGCAUUAAAAGAUUAUGAUCUUGAAUUGAAUGAUGAGUUCAAGGAGACUGGUAGAAGGAUAGUUGAGAAGUGCAAUGGAUUGCCUCUAGCUUUGAAAACAAUUGGAAGUCUUUUACGCAAAAAGUCAUCCAUUUUAGAUUGGAAAAACAUAUUGAAAAGUGAGAUAUGGGAGUUACCAAAAGAAGACAAUGAAAUUAUCCCUGCACUAUUUUUGAGCUAUCGCUAUCUUCCUUCUCAUCUUAAAAGUUGCUUUGCUUAUUGUGCCUUAUUCCCCAAAGAUUAUACGUUUGUGAAGGAGAAGUUAAUUUUAUUGUGGAUGGCCCAAAAUUUUCUAGAAAGUCCUCAACAGAUUAGACAUCCAGAACAAGUUGGUGAAGAGUACUUCAAUGAUCUACUGUCACGGUCUUUUUUUCAGCAAUCAAGUGUCGGGAGAAGUUUCGUCAUGCAUGACCUUCUGAAUGACUUGGCAAAAUAUGUUUGUGCAGAUUUCUGUUUCAGGUUGAAAUUUGAUAAAGGCCAAUGUAUACCGAAAACAACCCGUCAUUUUUCAUUUGAAUUCCGUGACAUCAAAAGUUUUGAUGGUUUUCAGAGUUUAACUGACGCUAAAAGACUUCGUUCAUUUCUUCCUAUCUCAAAAUAUGUGACAUCUCAAUGGCGUUUCAAGAUUUCGAUACAUGAUUUGUUCUCCAAGAUUAAGUUUAUACGCAUGUUAUCUUUCCAUGGUUGUUCAGACCUUAGAGAAGUCCCGGAUUCUGUAAGUGAUCUUAAACAUCUCCAUUCGUUAGAUCUUUCGAGUACUGCGAUACAAAAGCUACCUGACUCGGUAUGUUUGCUCUAUAACUUACUAAUACUGAAGUUGAAUGAUUGUUCAGAGUUGGAGGAGUUGCCCUUAAAUUUGCAUAAACUUACCAAAUUGCGUUGCCUGGAAUUUAGAUAUACAAAAGUGACAAAGAUGUCAAUGCAUUUUGGAGAAUUGAAGAAUCUUCAAGUAUUGGAUACGUUUAUCGUCGAUAGGAAUAGUGAAGUCAGUACUAAAGAGUUGGGAGGACUCGAUCUUCAUGGAAUGCUGUCAAUUAAAGAGGUGCAGAAUAUUGUGAAUCCUUUGGAUGCAUCAGAAGCAAAUUUGAAAGAUAAACACCUUGUGGAGUUAGAAUUAGAAUGGAAGUCAGACCACAUCCCUGAUGAUCCAAGGAAAGAAAAGGAAGUACUUCAAAAUCUACAACCCUCCAAACACUUGGAGGAUUUAAAAAUCUGGAACUACAAUGGUACAGAAUUCCCAAGUUGGAUAUUCGAUAAUUCGUUAUCAAAUCUGAUGUACUUAAAGUUGGAGGACUGUAAAUACUGCCUAUGUUUGCCUCCCCUUGGACUUUUGUCAUGUCUGAAGAACCUUAGUAUUACAGGGCUUGAUGGAAUAGUGACCAUUGGUGCUGAAUUUUAUGGGACCAACUCUUCGUUUCCAUCCUUGGAGAGUCUGACAUUCAAAAAUAUGAAGGAAUGGGAAGAGUGGGAGUGUAAAACUACUUCUUUUCCACGUCUUCAAGAGCUUUUUGUGGAUAAAUGUCCCAAACUGAAAGGUACUCAUAAAGUAGUUGUUAGUGAUGAGCUCACAAUUAACGGAAACAGUACAUCGCUGCUUGAAAUCCUGCAUAUUGAUGGAGGCUGCGACUCGCUUACAAUCUUUCGGCUAGAUUUCUUUCCAAAACUCAGUUUACUUUGGCUGGAAAAGUGCCAAAACCUAAGAAGAAUUUCACAGGAGUCCGCUAAUAAUCAUCUCGUAGAACUAUAUAUGGACGAUUGCCCUGAAUUUAAAUCAUUCCUGUUUCCCAAACCCAUGCAAAUCAUGUUUCCGUCCCUUACCAGGCUGGAGAUAACUAAUUGUCCAGAAGUUGAGUUGUUCCCAGAUGGAGGUUUGCCAUUAAAUAUAAAAGAAAUGACUCUUUCAUGUUUAAACCUUAUCGCCUCCUUGAGAGACAACUUGGAUCCCAACACAUGUCUUCAACACUUGUGUAUUGAACAUUUGGAGGUGGAGUGUUUUCCCGAUGAAGUUUUGCUGCCACGCUCUCUCACCUCUCUGCAAAUCUAUGAUUGCCCAAAUCUUAAGAAGAUGCACUUGAAGGGUAUCUGCCACCUCUCCUCUCUCGCACUUUAUCAUUGUCCCAGCCUUGAAUGCUUACCAGCGGAGGGUCUCCCCAAAUCCAUCUCUUCUCUUACAAUCUCGUAUUGUCCAUUGCUGAAGGAGCGUUGUCGGAAACCAGAUGGAGAAGACUGGGGAAAGAUUGCUCACAUCCAAAAACUGGAUGUUCGAUCAUAAGACGAGUCACAAGUUCAAAAUUAGACGUGCACCUAUUUCAAUUUGUCUGCCAC